GGCCUGUUGGUCUAGUGGUAUGAUUCUCGCUUUGGGUGCGAGAGGUCCCGGGUUCAAUUCCCGGACGUGCCC
This 72-nucleotide transfer RNA is filed under the name Actinia tenebrosa (Australian red waratah sea anemone). Its description in RNAcentral is "tRNA-Pro". It matches the Rfam family "tRNA". From Rfam's summary of the family: Transfer RNA (tRNA) molecules are approximately 80 nucleotides in length. Their secondary structure includes four short double-helical elements and three loops (D, anti-codon, and T loops). Lineage: Eukaryota; Metazoa; Cnidaria; Anthozoa; Actiniaria; Actiniidae. The record is from Rfam by way of RNAcentral.